This 241-nucleotide ribosomal RNA is filed under the name Acinetobacter baumannii. RNAcentral describes it as "partial 23S ribosomal RNA". It matches the Rfam family "Bacterial large subunit ribosomal RNA", at positions 2676 to 2911 of the family's 2925-position model. Lineage: Bacteria; Pseudomonadati; Pseudomonadota; Gammaproteobacteria; Moraxellales; Moraxellaceae. The record is from RNAcentral.
UCCUAGUACGAGAGGACCGGAGUGGACGCAUCACUGGUGUUCGGGUUGUCAUGCCAAUGGCACUGCCCGGUAGCUAAAUGCGGAAGAGAUAAGUGCUGAAAGCAUCUAAGCACGAAACUUGCCCCGAGAUGAGUUCUCCCUGAGACUUUAAGUCUCCUGAAGGAACGUUAAAGACGAUGACGUUGAUAGGCCGGGUGUGUAAGCGCAGCGAUGCGUUGAGCUAACCGGUACUAAUGAACCG